RNAcentral lists this ribosomal RNA (490 nucleotides) under uncultured Abiotrophia sp. RNAcentral describes it as "bacterial SSU rRNA". It matches the Rfam family "Bacterial small subunit ribosomal RNA", at positions 40 to 507 of the family's 1533-position model. Lineage: Bacteria; Bacillati; Bacillota; Bacilli; Lactobacillales; Aerococcaceae. The record is from RNAcentral.
CGGCGUGCCUAAUACAUGCAAGUCGAACGAACCGCGACCGAGUGCUUGCACUUGGUCAAGGUGAGUGGCGAACGGGUGAGUAACACGUGGGUAACCUACCUCAUAGUGGGGGAUAACAGUCGGAAACGACUGCUAAUACCGCAUAGGACAUGGGAUCACAUGAUUCCGUGAGGAAAGGUGGCGCAAGCUAUCGCUAAGAGAUGGACCCGCGGUGCAUUAGCUAGUUGGUAGGGUAAGGGCCUACCAAGGCGAUGAUGCAUAGCCGACCUGAGAGGGUGAUCGGCCACAUUGGGACUGAGACACGGCCCAAACUCCUACGGGAGGCAGCAGUAGGGAAUCUUCCGCAAUGGACGCAAGUCUGACGGAGCAACGCCGCGUGAGUGAAGAAGGUCUUCGGAUCGUAAAGCUCUGUUGUUAGAGAAGAACAGCGCAUAGAGUAACUGUUAUGCGUGUGACGGUAUCUAACCAGAAAGCCACGGCUAACUACGUG